UUAUAUUUGCAGAAGAUGCUGUAGUUGCGGAAAAAGAUGAUCAUGCAGUGGCUGGUAACAGAGAUGACGGUUAUGGUUACGGCUAUGGUGGACAAGGUGGUUACGGCUAUGGCUGGGGAGGCGGCGGCUAUGGUGGACGUGGCGGUGGCAGCUGGGGAGGACGUGGAGGCGGCGGCUGGGGAGGUGGCGGCUGCCGAUAUGGUUGCUGUGGACACAGUAGAUAUGGAGGCUGUAGGUGUUGUUACUCAGCUGCA
Molecule: long non-coding RNA, 254 nt
Filed under: Nicotiana tabacum (common tobacco)
Lineage: Eukaryota; Viridiplantae; Streptophyta; Magnoliopsida; Solanales; Solanaceae
Description: long non-coding RNA (NTAB_LNC007810)
Source: RNAcentral